This 491-nucleotide ribosomal RNA is filed under the name uncultured bacterium. RNAcentral's name for it is "partial 16S ribosomal RNA". It matches the Rfam family "Bacterial small subunit ribosomal RNA", at positions 29 to 506 of the family's 1533-position model. The record is from RNAcentral.
AGUGAACGCUGGCGGUAGGCCUAACACAUGCAAGUCGAACGGCAGCACAGUAAGAGCUUGCUCUUACGGGUGGCGAGUGGCGGACGGGUGAGGAAUACAUCGGAAUCUACUUUUUCGUGGGGGAUAACGUAGGGAAACUUACGCUAAUACCGCAUACGACCUACGGGUGAAAGCAGGGGAUCUUCGGACCUUGCGCGAUUGAAUGAGCCGAUGUCGGAUUAGCUAGUUGGCGGGGUAAAGGCCCACCAAGGCGACGAUCCGUAGCUGGUCUGAGAGGAUGAUCGGCCACACUGGAGCUGAGACACGGUCCAGACUCCUACGGGAGGCAGCAGUGGGGAAUAUUGGACAAUGGGCGCAAGCCUGAUCCAGCCAUACCGCGUGGGUGAAGAAGGCCUUCGGGUUGUAAAGCCCUUUUGUUGGGAAAGAAAAGCAGCAGGUUAAUACCCCGCUGUUCUGACGGGACCCAAAGAAUAAGCACCGGCGAACUUCGU